This 1131-nucleotide long non-coding RNA is filed under the name Felis catus (domestic cat). Its description in RNAcentral is "lncRNA (ENSFCAG00000046311.2)". The record is from RNAcentral. Lineage: Eukaryota; Metazoa; Chordata; Mammalia; Carnivora; Felidae.
UAAAUCUUAAAAGUAUUUCUUCAUAGCUCUGUUUUGGGGGAAAUCUCACAGAAAAAUGUCCUUUGUUUCAAGCUCUUCAGAAGGCUUAAGGACAUAGGACAGCAUCCCUUGCAAAGCAAUUUUUAAAUUCCCCUGAAAGAAAGAGGAGCAGAAAUGCCUAGAGGAUGUUGAAUUUUGUCUCGCAAAUACUGUUUCAAUGUGCCCUUCAAGUAUGUGAUGUCCGGUGGGUAAAUGUAUAAUGGGAUUCAAAGGAGAUUGAUAAGCUUUUAAAUGGGGCUAAGAUUUAUGAAUUUCCUGAGUGGGCAUUUGAGUCGGGAUCACCGAAGCCUUGACAGCCGAUGCCCUCAACAAUCUGAGUGAACACGCCAGAGAUCUGCUCCAGAUUCCGGUUUACGGUAGAUCCAAUCCAGACUACAAACAUGUGGAGGGUGAGAGUAACCUGCGAAUCUAAAUUUGUUGCGAGAUGCACAAUAUUUGUGUAUCUGUCAGCAAUGGUAAACUUUCCUUUGCUUGUUUUCUCUUUUUCAGGCUCAACCAGAUGGAAAAAUGUCAUUCAAGCCCCUCAGACCUUCGCGCAAAGUUGUUCUGGUGGAUACACAGACGUGUACUUGUGAUACAUUGAUGUUUACUUUAUUCCUACUCAGAACAAUUGGCAAGGUCAAGUAUCCACACCAUUUAUCGACGCCAGUCUUGGGCAGCGUUAGGUUGACGGAAAGGACUCUGAAAUUUAUCAGCAGCAGAGAGGAUGCUGCUAUUCUGAUCAGAAUUCGUUUGGUAGGUAUAUUUGGGUUUGAAUUAGUUUUUCAUAUUUUUCUUUCUGCUUAUAGAAAACUUUUCUCUCGGGGAAAAUACAUGCUAAGGCUAAACGUCACUUGAAUUAACUAAUCAAUUACACAUUGCAGCCUUCAGCAAUUUUUAAUGAAAGGACACCGUCCACUUCAUGCUGAACUGUAAAAAGGGAUUCCUUUUUUGUAAUAUUAAUGUUACUGCACUGAACAGUGCUAUUAGAAGACGUCCCAGAAGCAACCAUGGUACAAAUUUUGGAGCGGCUCUAUAGAGGUGGCUUCUACUCAUAACUGAACCUGAACAAGAACAAAUAAAUCAAGGAAGCUACUCCUCCCCUUCUGCUGA